AGGCUGAGGCUGUGCUGGUUGU
RNAcentral lists this microRNA (22 nucleotides) under Gallus gallus (chicken). RNAcentral describes it as "gga-miR-1609". The record is from miRBase by way of RNAcentral. Lineage: Eukaryota; Metazoa; Chordata; Aves; Galliformes; Phasianidae.